AUAUCGUAGUUGCUCGAAAUCGUGAACAAUUUUCUCCUUAUCGGUCGUUUUCUUAGUGUCUGUCAUUAGACAAAAUAUAUUCCUUGCUGUGGGCAUAAGAUUAGGUAAGUUCGGUUUACCAGGCCCACAGCGAAAGCGCCGAUGUUUGUGAGUGAAAAAAAAUGGAAAAACAGAAGUGAAAUCUCUUGCUUUCGGGUAAGGCUGGUAACGAAACCUACUGAUAAGGAACCGUGCCGGGAUUUAACGAAAUUGUUCGAACAAGGCCCGAGUAGUGCAGGAGAAUGACGGCUGCCAGCGUUUAACCAUCAGAGCUGGUAACCACCGCUCAGCCACUAGUUGGGCUAUCCGGCUUGGAUGUGCAGCGGAACACUAUUCACAAGCGAUCUGGGAUCUGGAAAGCCAGAAAGCGAAUCUAUAGAAUAUAAGCUUCUUCCACCCAGUUAUGAAUUUGCUGUAUCAAAACCAAAACACCAAUCCUACGAAUGGUAUUACCCAAAAGGAAUCUUAAAACAAAACUGGAUGCUGAAACAUUCGCAUGUUUUGCCGGCAGCCGUAGUCCUGGGUCGGGAUCAAGAAUGGAACGAUCUACAGGGAUGUGAGAAGCAGUUGCAGUGUGCUUCGAUUAUUCAGGCGUAGAGAAACUAUAUACGGCUAGCGGCAGUUUAAAUUCAAAAAGGUGCUAGCAUACCUCAAGGAGAUGAUUUUGUUGCUUCCGAGAGGGCAUCCCACUUGACCAGCACCGGUGAGAUUACCGCAAAAAUGCUCUUCGUGCUUCCUCACAACGAUCAUUUAAUGAAUCGCAUACUAAGACUGCAAUCCGCCUUCCUGAAACAUGCACAGUCUUACUGUAAUCAAAUAAUGAAGCAAAUUCGGUGAGACGAAUAUUCGGUUGAACACAUUGUUGAUCGUAUAAUAACUAAAUAACCAAAUGGUUUUGAUUGAUGUUUAAAUUGUUAUUUUCGCUUUUUGACUGUUCACGUAAGAAAAUAAUUGAAAAUUGCUCGAAAUAAUUCAUUUUGCGCUUAUUAAUGGAGUACGCUGAUCCGUGGCGCACCUAAUUUUAUUCUUUUUUGACUUGUCAAUAAAAAAUAAAUGUUCUUAGAGAUUAUGGUUCGUGAGCAUAAUUGCAAAUUUUGUGUAACGAUUACAUUUUAAGUGCUUUUGCAAAGUAUGCAGUGCAUGCAAUUUUAUGCAAUGCGUAGAAAGAACGAGAACUGAAAAUGUGAAUUUGGCUCAAAAAAAAAUAUACCUCAUCCAGACGGGACAUGAACCAUGAGUGAAGUUUGCGGUUCGAGUUCCGUCUGAAUGUGGUAUAUUCCUCUAUGAACCUGAGUCAUAUCCUCAGUUCUCGUUUACCCCGUUUCAUAAAACUUUAUGCACUGCAUUUUAUAUUAUUUCUAAUGUAACACACUAUUCGGUGAGCCGAAUAUUCGGCAAAAUCCAUUUUUUGCUGAUAUUCGGUGCAUCUCUAGUAGACACCAACUGCCUCGAAGUCAAAACCAUAGCUGGUUUCGUGAGCUUCAAAAUUUGUCGCCUAUUUUCCAAACUCAAAGGAGAUCCAAUAGCUUCAAGAACCACGUCGUCAAAUAUCACAACCAAACCAGUUCCAAAAAGCUGCUGGCUGACUGUGCAGUACAGUGCCUCCGGUGGGUUGUUUGCGACGCAGUCAAGAACGGGCUGGCGUCACUACAAACCCAACAUCCUGGUAUUUACUUCCACGAGGCGGUCGAAUAUGUAGGCAAGCACAAGAAGGCGUUUUUCAAUGUUCCGCACUGACCCCCGAGCGAGACUCAAACCGGUGGCGCUGGGCAGGCUUCUUCCACAAAUGCUAACGCGAUGCUGUACAGUCCCUUUUUCGGUAACGAGUCACGAAAACAGGUAAGCCUGUCACCAAGCAACAAGUUAUCUACCUGGUACACGAGAUAGAGAAAACCCACAAACAUUCGGCAUCUAUCAUCACCCUACUGGGACAGGCUAUGGCUCAGUAUAAAGUUUACAAAUGACUACGCUUUUACAAGAAGCAGGUAAUCGAUAUGGCUGAGGAAUAUCUGACAAGUGGAGAUCACUCGAAAGCACUUACGCUCUACUCGCUCAUGCUGUCUGACGGGUGGACGAAUGGUACACAAUAUUCGUCGAAGUUCUGUUAAAAACAUUGCGGUCUGCAUAUCUUUCCGCAUCCCGAUGCCCGAUUUUGUGGCAUGCAGCAUUGAGGCGUUAUCGCCGCAAAUUGAAAUGGAAAAAACUGAUCGCAUUCUGGUAAUGGAAAACCUCUGCAAAGCAUUCCACAACGUGUCUCGGUGUCGAGUAGUCAAAUUUCACUGUCGGCUAGCUGGCAAACCGCAUUAUCCUCUUUCAAUAAUCCCAUAAAACUUGACCUUGACGGGUUGCACGACCUUCUAGAAUGCAAAAUAAGUUUCGAUAAACGACAGUUGAGGAACGACGAAAAACUGCAUCUCCAACUGUACGUUCGUUCCGUCGUAGAAGUUUCUUUGAAGUUGAAAAACUUUUCCGUUUUGUUAACAGAUCUGAAGUCAAGUUCGAGUCGAGUGCCAGCAACUCAGUAUGGUGAAUAUGUGUUAGAGAAAAGCUAAGCUGGACAGGUACAGCCGAAGCCAAUAGAAAAAUUCAUACUAGAGCCCAAUAAAUGCUACCGUAUACUAUUUAGGGGAGAACGCUAUCAGUUUAUGGAGAAUGUUAACGUACAUAUUUUCCGCUUGGAAGUGCAAAUGGGAUCGGACCGAACCAAGGCCAUUCUUUCGCUGCGCGAAAAACUAAACAUUCAGCGAGUUUCAAAUACUUCAAUCAUCGUGACUGUAAGGAGAAAAUAUCGGUCAUCAGUUCGUGCUAUAUCAUUCCAACGCUUCAUCUUGGAUCACAGACCAAACUAAACAACCAACCAAUGUUGACGAAUAAGUUUUACAAAAUUACGACAAAAAUUAUGAACAACCACGAUCUCUGUCUGCAGAACGUUGGAAUCAGUUUCAGUAUGCCUCAAGCUUUACGGAGUAAUGGUGUUACCGAAAUUAUCACAAUAAUCUCUGUCUGCAGAACGUUGGAAUCAGUUUCAGUAUGCCUCAAGCUUUACGGAGUAAUGACCUCCAGUGAUUAACCGAAAGAUUCCAAAAGCACCAUACAGUAAACCACACAGACAUCUUCCACCGAGCAUGUAUUCGAUAAUCUUAUAAGUGUCCUGGAGACAUACGGCCUACCGACUCGUUCUCGAGAAUCGUACAGAACGUUCGGAUAUUAUUCACGGUUGUGAAAAUGAAUCAGUUUCAGAUACUGAGAGCAAAAGACCAUCGGAAACUCAUUAUGAAGCGUAGUGGUAUAAACAUACUUUUGGUACACCUAAAGGAAACCGGGUGUUGGGGAUCCAAACGUGUUUGGCGUGGCUCGUAAUAAACCAUCCCAGACUAAGCUGACAGCAUUUUGCGUUUUGUUUAAAAGGAAGUAACUCAAGGCACAUAUGCUGAUAUGGUAUCGAAAUCCGACACCAAUGCUUGAAUCGCUUCCAACCUUAACAUCUCUAGCUUCGAACUACAGAUUAGUUAUAAAGUUAGUUAAAGUUAUAAUUAAACUAAACAUAAAAACUAGGGACAUUGUACAUUUCGACUAAAAGUGCUGCCACACGAUGCACAGUGGUAUAGUUUCCUCUGGCAGACGUGAUAGAUUUCUAUGUCAUAGUUUUUAUGGAAUAUAAGAAACAAUUCUUUUAAAAAGUAUGAACUAUAACGUAAAAAGCGUAAACUAUUAGCGAGAGCGCUAAACAGUAGACUGCCAAAUAAUCUAUAACAUAGAGCGGUUAGGACGAAAUAGUGCCUAGUCACCAUGUAAUAGUUUUUUGAUAGUCUACAUUUUAGACUUUACGAACUAAUUUCAUUUUUGUCAUAUGACUUACAUUUUUUUUAAGUUUAGUAAAGCGAGCAAUGUAUGUAGUUUUUCGGAAAUGCGAAAAUGAACGGGAACAGAAGGUGUGACUUUUAGGCUUAGAAAAAAUUUUCCCUCGUCCAGACGGGACUCGAACCCGCAAUCUCCGUUGUCUCCGGCAAAGUGUUUUGGCCAAUUAAACUACUGGGAAAGGUAUAACUCAUUCUAAGCCAAAGUCGAAUCACUCCUACUAUUGUGUUCCCGUAUCCCAGCAUGCCACGAUGAACUGCAAAAAAAUUUUCUAAGCCUAAAAGUCACACCUUCUAUUCCCGUUCAUUUUCGCAUUCUCGAAAAACUACAUACAUUGCCCGCUUUACUACAUUUUAGAGCUUUAACUUUUUUAAGGACAUAGUUGUCCAAAAUUUCAAAAAAAAUAACAGAAAUAUAUCACGUCUGUCAUAGGAAACUAUAAGAGAACUAUAUAAACAUUACAAAAACAAUUCAGUUUAAUUCUACGUUCAGAAUACAAUAUUUUAUAUACUAUA
Molecule: long non-coding RNA, 4412 nt
Organism: Wyeomyia smithii (pitcher-plant mosquito)
Lineage: Eukaryota; Metazoa; Arthropoda; Insecta; Diptera; Culicidae
Exons: 8
Source: RefSeq, a predicted model, not a curated record